UAGGGAAUCUUCGGCAAUGGACGAAAGUCUGACCGAGCAACGCCGCGUGAGUGAAGAAGGUUCUCGGAUCGUAAAACUCUGUUGUUAGAGAAGAACAAGGACGUUAGUAACUGAACGUCCCCUGACGGUAUCUAACCAGAAAGCCACGGCUAACUACGUGCCAGCAGCCGCGGUAAUACGUAGGUGGCAAGCGGUGUCCGGAUUUAGUGGGCGUAAAGCGAGCGCAGGCGGUUUCUUAAGUCUGAUGUGAAAGCCCCCGGCACAACCGGGGAGGGUCAUGGGAAACUGGGAGUCUUGAGUGCAGAAGGGGAGAGUGGAGUUCCAUGUGUAGCGGUAAAAUGCGUAGAUAUAUGGGGGAACACCAGUGGCGAGGGCGGCUCUCUGGUCUGUAACUGACGCUGGGGCUCGAAAGCGUGGGGAGCAAACAGG
This 429-nucleotide ribosomal RNA is filed under the name Gemmatimonadota bacterium. RNAcentral's name for it is "Gemmatimonadetes bacterium partial 16S ribosomal RNA". It matches the Rfam family "Bacterial small subunit ribosomal RNA", at positions 355 to 776 of the family's 1533-position model. The record is from RNAcentral. Lineage: Bacteria; Pseudomonadati; Gemmatimonadota.